UCGAACGCUUCUUUCCUCCCGAGUGCUUGCACUCAAUUGGAAAGAGGAGUGGCGGACGGGUGAGUAACACGUGGGUAACCUACCCAUCAGAGGGGGAUAACACUUGGAAACAGGUGCUAAUACCGCAUAACAGUUUAUGCCGCAUGGCAUAAGAGUAAAAGGCGCUUUCGGGUGUCGCUGAUGGAUGGACCCGCGGUGCAUUAGCUAGUUGGUGAGGUAACGGCUCACCAAGGCCACGAUGCAUAGCCGACCUGAGAGGGUGAUCGGCCACACUGGGACUGAGACACGGCCCAGACUCCUACGGGAGGCAGCAGUAGGGAAUCUUCGGCAAUGGACGAAAGUCUGACCGAGCAACGCCGCGUGAGUGAAGAAGGUUUUCGGACCGUAAAACUCUGUUGUUAGAGAAGAACAAGGACGUUAGUAACUGAACGUCCCCUGACGGUAUCUAACCAGAAAGUCGCGGCUAACUACGUGCCAGCAGCCGCGGUAAUACGUAGGUGGCAAGCGUUGUCCGGAUUUAUUGGGCGUAAAGCGAGCGCAGGCGGUUUCUUAAGUCUGAUGUGAAAGCCCCCGGCUCAACCGGGGAGGGUCAUUGGAAACUGGGAGACUUGAGUGCAGAAGAGGAGAGUGGAAUUCCAUGUGUAGCGGUGAAAUGCGUAGAUAUAUGGAGGAACACCAGUGGCGAAGGC
Molecule: ribosomal RNA, 689 nt
Filed under: uncultured Bacilli bacterium
Lineage: Bacteria; Bacillati; Bacillota; Bacilli
Description: bacterial SSU rRNA
Rfam family: Bacterial small subunit ribosomal RNA
Source: RNAcentral